This 720-nucleotide ribosomal RNA is filed under the name Nocardiopsis sp. 41680. Its description in RNAcentral is "bacterial SSU rRNA". It matches the Rfam family "Bacterial small subunit ribosomal RNA", at positions 81 to 802 of the family's 1533-position model. The record is from RNAcentral. Lineage: Bacteria; Bacillati; Actinomycetota; Actinomycetes; Streptosporangiales; Nocardiopsidaceae.
UUCGGGGUACACGAGCGGCGAACGGGUGAGUAACACGUGAGCAACCUGCCCCUGACUCCGGGAUAAGCGGUGGAAACGCCGUCUAAUACCGGAUACGACCUGUCACCUCAUGGUGGCGGGUGGAAAGUUUUUCGGUCGGGGAUGGGCUCGCGGCCUAUCAGCUAGUUGGUGGGGUAAAGGCCUACCAAGGCGAUUACGGGUAGCCGGCCUGAGAGGGCGACCGGCCACACUGGGACUGAGACACGGCCCAGACUCCUGCGGGAGGCAGCAGUGGGGAAUAUUGCGCAAUGGGCGAAAGCCUGACGCAGCGACGCCGCGUGGGGGAUGACGGCCUUCGGGUUGUAAACCUCUUUUACCACCAACGCAGGCUCCCAGUUCUCUGGGGGUUGACGGUAGGUGGGGAAUAAGGACCGGCUAACUACGUGCCAGCAGCCGCGGUAAUACGUAGGGUCCGAGCGUUGUCCGGAAUUAUUGGGCGUAAAGAGCUCGUAGGCGGCGUGUCGCGUCUGCUGUGAAAGACCGGGGCUUAACUCCGGUUCUGCAGUGGAUACGGGCAUGCUAGAGGUAGGUAGGGGAGACUGGAAUUCCUGGUGUAGCGGUGAAAUGCGCAGAUAUCAGGAGGAACACCGGUGGCGAAGGCGGGUCUCUGGGCCUUACCUGACGCUGAGGAGCGAAAGCAUGGGGAGCGAACAGGAUUAGAUACCCUGGUAGUCCAUGCCG